Taeniopygia guttata (zebra finch) is the source of this 415-nucleotide non-coding RNA. Lineage: Eukaryota; Metazoa; Chordata; Aves; Passeriformes; Estrildidae. The record is from RefSeq and is a predicted model, not a curated record.
CCGCCGUGUGUGUCCCGGUGGGCUGAGGGAGGAGAUGCUGUCCCACCCCCCUCACAGCCGAGCCCUGAUGAGGCUGAUGGAUACAAAGAUGUGGACUCUACUUUUGGAGGAAAAGCAGACGGAGCUGGAUAACAGCAAAUCUCUGUGGUGGAACUGGUCGGGCUCUGUGAGCACACUCGAGGAGGUCUGGGCUGGAGCAGCCAGAUUAAAGGUUUCAGAAUUUCUGUUUUCACUGGCUCCACAAAGGGGAUCUUGGAUUGCCCCCUGCUUGGAUAGAGAUCACUGAAUGCACUGGGAGUUUUACUCACAUCGUGAUUGUUACGGCAGCUUCCAAAGUCCUUAUCUGUUUUUCCAGAUAAGUGGAUGAAAAUCUGACCCUGUGUUUGAGGGUUUAUUAUUAUUGUUUUUAUUAUUA